AACGUAGGUUCCGAGCGUUAUCCGGAUUUACUGGGCGUAAAGCGCGUUCAGGCGGUUUGGCAAGUCGGGCAUGAAAUCUCUCGGCUCAACCGGGAGAGGUUGUCCGAUACUGCUGGACUUGAGGGCAGUAGAGGGUGGUGGAAUUCCGGGUGUAGCGGUGAAAUGCGUAGAUAUCCGGAGGAACACCAGUGGCGAAAGCGGCCACCUGGACUGCACCUGACGCUGACACGCGAAAGCUAGGGGAGCGAACGGG
This 253-nucleotide ribosomal RNA is filed under the name uncultured bacterium. RNAcentral's name for it is "partial 16S ribosomal RNA". It matches the Rfam family "Bacterial small subunit ribosomal RNA", at positions 524 to 776 of the family's 1533-position model. The record is from RNAcentral.